Molecule: non-coding RNA, 74 nt
Organism: Acanthaster planci (crown-of-thorns starfish)
Lineage: Eukaryota; Metazoa; Echinodermata; Asteroidea; Valvatida; Acanthasteridae
Source: the annotation of a RefSeq genome assembly
GCCUACGUAGCUCAGUUUGGUAGAGCAAGAGCUUUCUAAUCUCUAGGUCGGGGGUUCGAAUCCCUCCGUAGGUA